ACGCUGGCGGCGGCCUAACAAUGCAAGUCGAGCGGUCGUAGCAAUACGGCAGCGGCAGACGGGAGAGUAACACGUGGGAACGUACCCUUCGGUUCGGAACAACCCAGGGAAACUUGGGCUAAUACCGGAUACGUCCGCAAGGAGAAAGAUUUAUCGCCGGAGGAUCGGCCCGCGUCUGAUUAGCUAGUUGGUGGGGUAAUGGCUCACCAAGGCGACGAUCAGUAGCUGGUCUGAGAGGAUGAUCAGCCUCACUGGGACUGAGACACGGCCCAGACUCCUACGGGAGGCAGCAGUGGGGAAUAUUGGACAAUGGGCGCAAGCCUGAUCCAGCCAUGCCGCGUGGGCGAUGAAGGCCCUAGGGUUGUAAAGCCCUUUCGGCGGGGAAGAUAAUGACGGUACCCGCAGAAGAAGCCCCGACUAACUUCGUGCCAGCAGCCGCGGUAAUACGAAGGGGGCUAGCGUUGCUCGGAAUCACUGGGCGUAUAGCGCACGUAUGCGGCUUCUU
Molecule: ribosomal RNA, 505 nt
Filed under: uncultured bacterium
Lineage: Bacteria
Description: bacterial SSU rRNA
Rfam family: Bacterial small subunit ribosomal RNA
Source: RNAcentral